UAGUAAUCGCGGAUCAGCAUGCCGCGGUGAAUACGUUCCCGGGCUUUGUACACACCGCCCGUCAAACCAUGGGAGUCGGAAAUGCCCGAAGUCGGUGACCCAACCGCAAGGAGGGAGCCGCCGAAGGCAGGUCCGGUAACUGGGGUGAAGUCGUAACAAGGUAUC
This 165-nucleotide ribosomal RNA is filed under the name uncultured bacterium. RNAcentral's name for it is "partial 16S ribosomal RNA". It matches the Rfam family "Bacterial small subunit ribosomal RNA", at positions 1336 to 1500 of the family's 1533-position model. The record is from RNAcentral.